CCUACGGGAGGCAGCAGUGGGGAAUAUUGGGCAAUGGGCGCAAGCCUGACCCAGCAACGCCGCGUGAAGGAAGAAGGCUUUCGGGUUGUAAACUUCUUUUCUCAGGGACGAAGAAAGUGACGGUACCUGAGUAAUAAGCCACGGCUAACUACGUGCCAGCAGCCGCGGUAAUACGUAGGUGGCAAGCAUUAUCCGGAUUUAUUGGGUGUAAAGGGUGCGCAGGCGGAGGUGCAAGUCAGCGGUCAAAUUGCGGGGCUCAACCCCGUACUGCCGUUGAAACUGCAUCCCUUGAGUGCGCGAGAAGUAUGCGGAAUGCGUGGUGUAGCGGUGAAAUGCAUAGAUAUCACGCAGAACUCCGAUUGCGAAGGCAGCAUACCGGCGCGCAACUGACGCUCAUGCACGAAAGCGUGGGUAUCGAACAGGAUUAGAUACCCUUGUAGUC
RNAcentral lists this ribosomal RNA (442 nucleotides) under uncultured bacterium. RNAcentral describes it as "partial 16S ribosomal RNA". It matches the Rfam family "Bacterial small subunit ribosomal RNA", at positions 338 to 795 of the family's 1533-position model. The record is from RNAcentral.